AUGCUCAAAGGUGAACUUGGUACC
This 24-nucleotide non-coding RNA is filed under the name Arabidopsis thaliana (thale cress). The record is from RNAcentral. Lineage: Eukaryota; Viridiplantae; Streptophyta; Magnoliopsida; Brassicales; Brassicaceae.